This 497-nucleotide ribosomal RNA is filed under the name uncultured bacterium. RNAcentral describes it as "partial 16S ribosomal RNA". It matches the Rfam family "Bacterial small subunit ribosomal RNA", at positions 28 to 507 of the family's 1533-position model. The record is from RNAcentral.
GACGAACGCUGGCGGCGUGCCUAAUACAUGCAAGUAGAACGCUGAAGCUUGGUGCUUGCACUGAGCGGAUGAGUUGCGAACGGGUGAGUAACGCGUAGGUAACCUGCCUGGUAGCGGGGGAUAACUAUUGGAAACGAUAGCUAAUACCGCAUAAGAGUAGAUGUUGCAUGACAUUUGCUUAAAAGGUGCAAUUGCAUCACUACCAGAUGGACCUGCGUUGUAUUAGCUAGUUGGUGAGGUAACGGCUCACCAAGGCAACGAUACAUAGCCGACCUGAGAGGGUGAUCGGCCACACUGGGACUGAGACACGGCCCAGACUCCUACGGGAGGCAGCAGUAGGGAAUCUUCGGCAAUGGACGGAAGUCUGACCGAGCAACGCCGCGUGAGUGAAGAAGGUUUUCGGAUCGUAAAGCUCUGUUGUAAGAGAAGAACGAGUGUGAGAGUGGAAAGUUCACACUGUGACGGUAUCUUACCAGAAAGGGACGGCUAACUACGUG